GUUCCUGUAGUUGAGUUACAACGAUGGUUUUUCGAGUCAUUGGUCCUGGUUAAAGUCCUGGCGGGAAUU
RNAcentral lists this transfer RNA (69 nucleotides) under Neoceratodus forsteri (Australian lungfish). RNAcentral describes it as "tRNA-Glu". It matches the Rfam family "tRNA". From Rfam's summary of the family: Transfer RNA (tRNA) molecules are approximately 80 nucleotides in length. Their secondary structure includes four short double-helical elements and three loops (D, anti-codon, and T loops). Lineage: Eukaryota; Metazoa; Chordata; Ceratodontiformes; Ceratodontidae. The record is from RNAcentral.